CCUACGGGUGGCAGCAGUGGGGAAUAUUGCACAAUGGGGGAAACCCUGAUGCAGCGACGCCGCGUGAGUGAGGAAGUAUUUCGGUAUGUAAAGCUCUAUCAGCAGGGAAGAAAAUGACGGUACCUGACUAAGAAGCCCCGGCGAACUACGUGCCAGCAGCCGCGGUAAUACGUAGGGGGCAAGCGUUAGCCGGAUUUACUGGGUGUAAAGGGAACGUAGACGGCUAAUCAAGUCGGAAGUGAAAACCCAGGGCUCAACCUUGGGAGUGCUUUUGAAACUGAGAAGCUAGAGUGCAGGAGAGGUAAGCAGAAUUCCGAGUGUAGCGGUGAAAUGCGUAGAUAUUAGGAGGAACACCAGUGGCGAAGGCGGCUUACUGGAC
RNAcentral lists this ribosomal RNA (379 nucleotides) under uncultured bacterium. Its description in RNAcentral is "partial 16S ribosomal RNA". It matches the Rfam family "Bacterial small subunit ribosomal RNA", at positions 338 to 734 of the family's 1533-position model. The record is from RNAcentral.